Molecule: long non-coding RNA, 342 nt
Filed under: Setaria viridis
Lineage: Eukaryota; Viridiplantae; Streptophyta; Magnoliopsida; Poales; Poaceae
Description: long non-coding RNA (SVIR_LNC006303)
Source: RNAcentral
ACCCGCUGUUCGGGAGCACGUUCCUGCACCCGCUCCAGCGCGUCGCCUACAUCAACAUCACCACCUACCCGUUCACGGCGCUGUUCCUCAUCUUCUACACGACGGUGCCGGCGCUGUCGUUCGUCACGGGGCACUUCAUCGUGCAGCGCCCCACCACCAUGUUCUACGUGUACCUUGCCAUCGUGCUGGGCACGCUGCUGAUCCUGGCGGUCCUGGAGGUGAAGUGGGCGGGCGUCACCGUCUUCGAGUGGUUCCGGAACGGGCAGUUCUGGAUGACGGCGAGCUGCUCCGCGUACCUCGCCGCCGUGUGCCAGGUGGUGGUGAAGGUGGUGUUCCGUCGGG